AGUCAAAUCAUGUUGAAACACCAGUUCUCAUACAAUCACCGAAGUUAAGCAACAUCAAGCGUGGUAAGUACCUAGAUGGGUAACUGCUUGGGAAUACCAGAUACAG
Molecule: non-coding RNA, 106 nt
Organism: Acanthosepion pharaonis
Lineage: Eukaryota; Metazoa; Mollusca; Cephalopoda; Sepiida; Sepiidae
Source: the annotation of a GenBank genome assembly